GAGUUUGAUCUUGGCUCAGAACGAACGCUGGCGGCAGGCCUCAAACAUGCAAGUCUAGGGGGUGUAGCAAUACAUCACCGGCGGACGGGUGCGUAACGCGUGGGAAUAUACCUAUUGGUUCGGAACAACUGCGGGAAACUGCAGCUAAUACCGAAUGUGCCCUUACGGGGAAAGAUUUAUCGCCAAUGGAUUAGCCCGCGUAGGAUUAGCUAGUUGGUGGGGUAAAGGCUCACCAAGGCUCCGAUCCUUAGCUGUUCUGAGAGGAAGAUCAGCCACACUGGGACUGAGACACGGCCCAGACUCCUACGGGAGGCAGCAGUUGGGAAUCUUGGACAAUGGGGGAAACCCUGAUCCAGCCAUGCCGCGUGAGUGAUGAAGGCCUU
This 383-nucleotide ribosomal RNA is filed under the name uncultured Alphaproteobacteria bacterium. RNAcentral describes it as "bacterial SSU rRNA". It matches the Rfam family "Bacterial small subunit ribosomal RNA", at positions 9 to 418 of the family's 1533-position model. The record is from RNAcentral. Lineage: Bacteria; Pseudomonadati; Pseudomonadota; Alphaproteobacteria.